Molecule: ribosomal RNA, 339 nt
Filed under: Triatoma dimidiata (kissing bug)
Lineage: Eukaryota; Metazoa; Arthropoda; Insecta; Hemiptera; Reduviidae
Description: partial 16S ribosomal RNA
Source: RNAcentral
CUGACAUGCCCAAUGAGGAAUUCAAUGGCCGCAGUAUUUUAACUGUGCUAAGGUAGCAUAAUCAUUUGUCUUUUAAUUGAGGGCUGGAAUGAAAGGUUGGACGAGAUAUUGACUUUCUUUAGUUUAAUUUUAAGAAUUUAAUUUUUGAGUUAAAAAGCUUAAAUUUAUUUGUUGGACGAGAAGACCCUAUAGAUCUUUAUAAUUUUAUAUUUUGAUAAUUUGGAGAUUUUAUUUAUUGUAAGUAGAAGAAUUAUUUUGUUGGGGUGACUGUAGAAUUUUAUUAACUUCUAUUAUUUUUAUUUCAUUGAUUGGUGUUUUUUUGAUCCAUAUAUUUAUGAU